GAUCCUGGCUCAGAAUCAACGCUGGCGGCGUGCCUAACACAUGCAAGUCGCACGAGAAAGCGGGCUUCGGCCUGCAAGUACAGUGGCGCACGGGUGAGUAACACGUGAAUCAUCUACCUCCGAGUGGGGAAUAACCUAGGGAAACCUGGGCUAAUACCGCAUAACACUUACGAGUCAAAGCAGCAAUGCGCUUGGAGAGGAGUUCGCGGCAGAUUAGCUAGUUGGUGGGGUAAUGGCCCACCAAGGCGAUGAUCUGUAUCCGGCCUGAGAGGGCGCACGGACACACUGGAACUGAAACACGGUCCAGACUCCUACGGGAGGCAGCAGUGGGGAAUUUUGCGCAAUGGGGGAAACCCUGACGCAGCAACGCCGCGUGGAGGAUGAAAUCCCUUGGGAUGUAAACUCCUUUCGAUCGGGACGAUUAUGACGGUACCGGAAGAAGAAGCCCCGGCUAACUUCGUGCCAGCAGCCGCGGUAAUACGAGGGGGGCAAGCGUUGUUCGGAAUUAUUGGGCGUAAAGGGCGCGUAGGCGGUUUGACAAGUCUGAUGUGAAAUCUCUGGGCUCAACCCAGAGUCUGCAUUAGAAACUGUCGGGCUUGAGUAUGGGAGAGGUGAGUGGAAUUUCCGGUGUAGCGGUGAAAUGCGUAGAUAUCGGAAGGAACACCUGUGGCGAAAGCGGCUCACUGGACC
This 690-nucleotide ribosomal RNA is filed under the name uncultured Acidobacteriota bacterium. RNAcentral's name for it is "bacterial SSU rRNA". It matches the Rfam family "Bacterial small subunit ribosomal RNA", at positions 15 to 735 of the family's 1533-position model. Lineage: Bacteria; Pseudomonadati; Acidobacteriota. The record is from RNAcentral.